This 465-nucleotide ribosomal RNA is filed under the name Vreelandella stevensii. RNAcentral describes it as "partial 16S ribosomal RNA". It matches the Rfam family "Bacterial small subunit ribosomal RNA", at positions 338 to 795 of the family's 1533-position model. The record is from RNAcentral. Lineage: Bacteria; Pseudomonadati; Pseudomonadota; Gammaproteobacteria; Oceanospirillales; Halomonadaceae.
CCUACGGGUGGCUGCAGUGGGGAAUAUUGGACAUUGGGCGAAAGCCUGAUCCAGCCAUGCCGCGUGUGUGAAGAAGGCCUUCGGGUUGUAAAGCACUUUCAGUGGGGAAGAAAGCCUUGGGGCUAAUACCCUCGAGGAAGGACAUCACCCACAGAAGAAGCACCGGCUAACUCCGUGCCAGCAGCCGCGGUAAUACGGAGGGUGCGAGCGUUAAUCGGAAUUACUGGGCGUAAAGCGCGCGUAGGCGGUCUGAUAAGCCGGUUGUGAAAGCCCCGGGCUCAACCUGGGAACGGCAUCCGGAACUGUCAGGCUAGAGUGCAGGAGAGGAAGGUAGAAUUCCCGGUGUAGCGGUGAAAUGCGUAGAGAUCGGGAGGAAUACCAGUGGCGAAGGCGGCCUUCUGGACUGACACUGACGCUGAGGUGCGAAAGCGUGGGUAGCAAACAGGAUUAGAUACCCGUGUAGUC